GAUACUGUGAUGGCCCAGACUCCACUCUCCUGGCCUGUCGCCUCUAGAGAGCCACCCCCAUAUCCUGUAGGUCUAGUCAGAGCCUCUUGUCCAGUGAUGGAUACACCUAUUCGUAUUGGUUCCUGCAGAAGCCAGGCCAGUCUCCACAGCUCCUGAUCUAUUUUGUUUCAAACCGGGCCUCUGGAGUCCCAGACAGGUUCAAUGGCAGUGGGUCAGGCACUGAUUUCACACUGAAAAUCAGCCGGGUGGAGCUGAAGAUGUUGGGGUUUAUUACUGCAUGCAGGCUCUGCAGCUUCCUCC
Molecule: long non-coding RNA, 300 nt
Filed under: Homo sapiens (human)
Lineage: Eukaryota; Metazoa; Chordata; Mammalia; Primates; Hominidae
Description: non-protein coding lnc-ANKRD36B-5:1
Source: RNAcentral